UGUAGAUGGUGGAUGGAUCACUAUGAGGUGGAAUAUAAACUGUAGAUGGAUCACAAUGAGGUGGAAUAGAAACUGUAGAUGGAUCACAAUGAGGUGGAAUAGAAACUGUAGAUGGAUCACUAUGAGGUGGAAUAUAAACUGUAGAUGGAUCACUAUGAGGUGGAAUAUAAACUGUAGAUGGAUCACAAUGAGGUGGAAUAGAAACUGUAGAUGGAUCACUAUGAGGUGGAAUAGAAACUGUAGAUGGAUCACUAUGAGGUGGAAUAUAAACUGUAGAUGGAUCACUAUGAGGUGGAAUAUAAACUGUAGAUGGAUCACAAUGAGGUGGAAUAUAAACUCAUCAAAAAC
Molecule: long non-coding RNA, 348 nt
Organism: Oncorhynchus tshawytscha (Chinook salmon)
Lineage: Eukaryota; Metazoa; Chordata; Actinopteri; Salmoniformes; Salmonidae
Source: Ensembl